This 749-nucleotide long non-coding RNA is filed under the name Helianthus annuus (common sunflower). RNAcentral's name for it is "hypothetical non coding rna". The record is from RNAcentral. Lineage: Eukaryota; Viridiplantae; Streptophyta; Magnoliopsida; Asterales; Asteraceae.
GUUUUAGUUUUUCCCGCCUAAACCACACUUCCCUUUCCUUUGGUGCACGGGUUAGGAGGACCCGUUUUGUAAUAUGGGUCAAAAUCGAUGAAGACUAUAGUUCUAAGUUCUCAAUCUCAAUAGUCUUCUUCACCACGCUUCCACCUGCACCGUUUCCCCUUUUAUUUUCUUUUGCAAGUUGUAUCGUACUACACACACAUUAAGGUUUAUUCUUGGAUCUCUUUCUGCUAAUCCUCCCACGACCAUUGAAUCUGAUGUGUUCUUCGUCAAAAAGGCUCUCUAAUCGGGUACACCAUUCCCAACCUUCUAGCAGCGGUAUGCUUUCAUCUCUGUAUCUCUAAACGAAGUAUCAAUCUGAUAACUAAGGAUCAUUCUUGAUGGGUUUUCACGCUGGUGUCGCACCUGGAGUGCCAACGAAGAUGAUUUAAUCAAGAAUGAUGUUGGAUCUGAAACGGUAUUCUACAUAUCUAUUGACAAUAGCUACAUGACAAAGCGAUGCUAGACACUCUAACAAAGAUGAAUUAGAGGAUUCCCAUGCACCAUAUGAAGUUAUUUUGUUACCAGGUAAAAGUGUCUUUUUCCUUUUUGGUUUCCUUUCUCUAUCUAUAAAUAUUGUAGUUUGGUAAGUGUAACUUUUGGUAAGUCAUCAAAAAACGUUUACUUGAUGUUCGUUGUUGUAUCGUAAUCUUAUAUAUUUGACAAUCAGUGAAUGAUAUACUAUUGGAAGUUUUGCUUUCUUAAGCCAUUUG